This 867-nucleotide ribosomal RNA is filed under the name Staphylococcus epidermidis. RNAcentral describes it as "bacterial SSU rRNA". It matches the Rfam family "Bacterial small subunit ribosomal RNA", at positions 18 to 869 of the family's 1533-position model. Lineage: Bacteria; Bacillati; Bacillota; Bacilli; Caryophanales; Staphylococcaceae. The record is from RNAcentral.
YCUUGCUCAGGAUGAACGCUGUCGCGUGCCUAAUACAUGCAAGUCGAGCGAACAGACGAGGAGCUGCUCCUCUGACGUUAGCGGCGGACGGGUGAGUAACACGUGGAUAACCUACCUAUAAGACUGGGAUAACUUCGGGAAACCGGAGCUAAUACCGGAUAAUAUAUUGAACCGCAUGGWUCAAUAGUGAAAGACGGUUUUGCUGUMACUUAUAGAUGGAUCCGCGCCGCAUUAGCUAGUUGGUAAGGUAACGGCUUACCAAGGCAACGAUGCGUAGCCGACCUGAGAGGGUGAUCGGCCACACUGGAACUGAGACACGGUCCAGACUCUACGGGAGGCAGCAGUAGGGAAUCUUCCGCAAUGGGCGAAAGCCUGACGGAGCAACGCCGCGUGAGUGAUGAAGGUCUUCGGAYCGUAAAACUCUGUUAUUAGGGAAGAAMAAAUGUGUAAGUAACUAUGCACGUCUUGACGGUACCUAAUCAGAAAGCCACGGCUAACUACGUGCCAGCAGCCGCGGUAAUACGUAGGUGGCAAGCGUUAUCCGGAAUUAUUGGGCGUAAAGCGCGCGUAGGYGGUUUUUUAAGUCUGAUGUGAAAGCCCACGGCUCAACCGUGGAGGGUCAUUGGAAACUGGAAAACUUGAGUGCAGAAGAGGAAAGUGGAAUUCCAUGUGUAGCGGUGAAAUGCGCAGAGAUAUGGAGGAACACCAGUGGCGAAGGCGACUUUCUGGUCUGUAACUGACGCUGAUGUGCGAAAGCGUGGGGAUCAAACAGGAUUAGAUACCCUGGUAGUCCACGCCGUAAACGAUGAGUGCUAAGUGUUAGGGGGUUUCCGCCCCUUAGUGCUGUCACUAACGCAUUAAGCACUC